AAGCAAUAAGUAAUCCACCUGGGGAGUACGGCCGCAAGGUUGAAACUCAAAGGAAUUGACGGGGGCCCGCACAAGCGGAGGAACAUGUGGUUUAAUUCGAUGAUACGCGAGGAACCUUACCUGGGCUUAAAUGUAGAGUGCAUGAGGUGGAAACACUUCUUUCCUUCGGGACUCUUUGCAAGGUGCUGCAUGGUUGUCGUCAGCUCGUGCCGUGAGGUGUCGGGUUAAGUCCCAUAACGAGCGCAACCCUUAUCUUCAGUUGCUACCAUUUAGUUGAGCACUCUGACGAAACCGCCUCGGAUAACGGGGAGGAAGGUGGGGAUGACGUCAAGUCCUCAUGGCCUUUAUGUCCAGGGCUACACACGUGCUACAAUGGCCGGUACAAACCGCUGCAAACCCGCGAGGGGGAGCUAAUCGGAAAAAGCCGGCCUCA
RNAcentral lists this ribosomal RNA (433 nucleotides) under uncultured bacterium. RNAcentral's name for it is "bacterial SSU rRNA". It matches the Rfam family "Bacterial small subunit ribosomal RNA", at positions 855 to 1290 of the family's 1533-position model. The record is from RNAcentral.